RNAcentral lists this ribosomal RNA (439 nucleotides) under uncultured bacterium. RNAcentral's name for it is "partial 16S ribosomal RNA". It matches the Rfam family "Bacterial small subunit ribosomal RNA", at positions 338 to 795 of the family's 1533-position model. The record is from RNAcentral.
CCUACGGGAGGCAGCAGUGGGGAAUAUUGCACAAUGGGGGAAACCCUGAUGCAGCGACGCCGCGUGAGCGAAGAAGUAUUUCGGUAUGUAAAGCUCUAUCAGCAGGGAAGAAAAUGACGGUACCUGAGUAAGAAGCUCCGGCUAAAUACGUGCCAGCCGCCGCGGUAAUACGUAUGGAGCAAGCGUUAUCCGGAUUUAUUGGGUUUAAAGGGUGCGUAGGCGGACAGUCAAGUCAGCGGUAAAAAUGCGGUGCUCAACGCCGUACAGCCGUUGAAACUGGCAGUCUUGAGUGGGCGAGAAGUAUGCGGAAUGCGUGGUGUAGCGGUGAAAUGCAUAGAUAUCACGCAGAACUCCGAUUGCGAAGGCAGCAUACCGGAGCCCGACUGACGCUGAGGCACGAAAGCGUGGGUAUCGAACAGGAUUAGAUACCCCAGUAGUC